Culex pipiens pallens (northern house mosquito) is the source of this 631-nucleotide long non-coding RNA. RefSeq lists it as uncharacterized. The record is from RefSeq and is a predicted model, not a curated record. Lineage: Eukaryota; Metazoa; Arthropoda; Insecta; Diptera; Culicidae. The transcript has 2 exons.
UGUCAAACGAAAAAGUGACCAACCACCGGGUUAGAACUUUGCCCGAAUCCUGACAGAACGCCUUGACUGGGAUAGAACAGAAUGGCACAGCUCUGUUGGUCGAUCAUCGUCUGUCAUAUUUUUAUCAGAAUCACCCUGUGUUUUCAAAAUGGAAAUAAACAAAGUUUGACAACGACUUGAGUGGCGGAUAAAUUUCUCCGGUGGACAAGGAGAUCAACGGAAGUUUUUGCUCGGCGAAGCGGAUUGCGACAAGUAGCUGAACGACACCAACCAGCUGUGCCCAGUAUGGCGAGAUUUAGCAUCUACGCGAAAAAGCAUCUACGCAGCACCGUACAAUAACUGCUACCGGGUUGUGGUGCUGGAAAAGACCGUCCCGUCGAAGAAUUUGCUCAAGGUCCGCCUGAUAGUAUGGCAACGAGGCCUGCCUCGGAUCCGGAUUCGGAUAAAGAACGCAGCGGAAAUUGAUUGCCGUGAGCUGGUGCAAAUCGUUCAGCCACCGGUAACGACUUUCUUGUUGGGCAUGCUGGGUGAAGCGGAUGACAAGUUCGACGAGUUUGGAAUUAUUCCGAUUAUCUCGUCACGCACUGCCUUGGUGAAGUAGAUCAGUGCCGUGGUGAGAUUGGAGAUCUGG